Molecule: ribosomal RNA, 481 nt
Filed under: uncultured bacterium
Lineage: Bacteria
Description: partial 16S ribosomal RNA
Rfam family: Bacterial small subunit ribosomal RNA
Source: RNAcentral
AUUGAACGCUGGCGGCAUGCCUUACACAUGCAAGUCGAACGGUAACAGGUCUUCGGAUGCUGACGAGUGGCGAACGGGUGAGUAAUACAUCGGAACGUGCCCAGACGUGGGGGAUAACGAGGCGAAAGCUUUGCUAAUACCGCAUACGAUCUAAGGAUGAAAGCAGGGGACCGCAAGGCCUUGCGCGUUUGGAGCGGCCGAUGGCAGAUUAGGUAGUUGGUGGGAUAAAAGCUUACCAAGCCGACGAUCUGUAGCUGGUCUGAGAGGACGACCAGCCACACUGGGACUGAGACACGGCCCAGACUCCUACGGGAGGCAGCAGUGGGGAAUUUUGGACAAUGGGCGAAAGCCUGAUCCAGCAAUGCCGCGUGCAGGAUGAAGGCCUUCGGGUUGUAAACUGCUUUUGUACGGAACGAAAAGGCUCUGGCUAAUACCUGGGGCACAUGACGGUACCGUAAGAAUAAGCACCGGCUAACUACGU